AACCGCGGUUAUACGAGAGGCCCAAGUUGACAGCCAUCGGCAUAAAGAGUGGUUAAGAGAACAUUAAACUAAAGCCAAACAUUCUCAGAACUGUCAUACGUACCCGAGAAUUAGAGGCCCCCCCACGAAAGUGGCUUUAACCCCUUCUGACCCCACGAAAGCUGAGAAA
RNAcentral lists this ribosomal RNA (169 nucleotides) under Iriatherina werneri. Its description in RNAcentral is "partial 12S rRNA". Lineage: Eukaryota; Metazoa; Chordata; Actinopteri; Atheriniformes; Melanotaeniidae. The record is from RNAcentral.